AUGGUGGGGUCAUUCUGGUGGAGAGGUAUUCUAAAAACCUUGCCUGCCUUCAAGCUUUAUGCCAUAUGCAAACCAGAAAAGGGAGACACCACUCUGUUUUGGCAUGACAAUUGGUCAGAUAUGUCUCUGCAACAAAAGCUACCUAAACUUUUCUCCUUUGCCAUCAACAAAGAAAUCACCCCGAGACAGAUUCAUGAGCAACAGGAGCUAGAGGUUUGUUUUCACAGACCACUCUCCCAGCAAGCACUCAAUCAAUUAAACCUCCUACAAGACCAACUUCAUAGUAUUAUGCGGACUGAAGAGACAGACCAAUGGGGAUAUAUCUGGGCAUCAACAAAGUACUCAUCAAUGAAGAUGUACAACAACCUCAUUGACAAGACUGAAGCUCACACAAUCUUCAGGCAGUUAUGGAAGUCCAACUGCAGACUUAGACACAAGAUUUUCUUUUGGAUGCUACUAUAUGACAGAGUAGCACAAGGAACCUGCUUCACAGAAGAAAGAUGUACCUACCUGAUUACAACUGUGCACUCUGUUCAGAUGCAAGUCAAGAAACUUUAA
RNAcentral lists this ribosomal RNA (558 nucleotides) under Triticum aestivum (bread wheat). RNAcentral's name for it is "partial small subunit ribosomal RNA". The record is from RNAcentral. Lineage: Eukaryota; Viridiplantae; Streptophyta; Magnoliopsida; Poales; Poaceae.